This is a non-coding RNA of Acanthosepion pharaonis, 88 nucleotides long. The record is from the annotation of a GenBank genome assembly. NCBI's taxonomy places the organism in Eukaryota, Metazoa, Mollusca, Cephalopoda, Sepiida, Sepiidae.
CCAUAUCACGUUGAAACACCAAAGUUAAGCUAUAUCGAGCAUGAUCAGUACUUAGAUGGGUGACUGCUUGGGAAUACCAGGUGAUGUU